AGGUUUUAACGGCGUUUUUUUAACGGCGUUUUUUUAAACGCCACUUUUUUUAAUUUUUAAUGGCGUUUUAUAACUGCCACGUAUUUGUUAACCAAAACGGCACCGUUUUAUAAUUGAAAACGCCUCCAAAUGCGGUAGGCACACGCGCGUCCUCCGUCCUUCCUUAUUUUGAAUCUCAGCCCUUUCUUUCUCUCAACCCUUAUACGCACACACAUCUCUCUCUCUCACUCAACCCUCUCUAAGCUCCAUCGAAGCUCCAUCUGCACCGGCGAUUUCGAAGAUUCAAAGCAAUUUCGAAGCUCCAUCGCCAGCACGAUCUGCACCGGCGAGAGAUUCAGAGGUUCAGUGAUUUCAGAGCGAUUUCUAUUUCGAAGCUCCGUCGCCACCACCAUCUGCACCGCCGAUUUCGAUUUCACUAAGAAGCUCAGAUCUGAACUCUGACCCCUCGAUUACUCGCUUUUCAAGCUCCAAUGGCGGUAGCACAAUAGCCAAGCCUAUAUGUUCAAUCUGCUACGAAGAUCUCAAUCCAAUCAUCGAAGCCCUUCAAUCAAUCUCCAUUUGCGGCCAUGUCUUCCACGAGCUCUGCCUUCAACAAUGUAUCGAGUACUGUUCAAAUGUGAAGAAAAAACGAUGUCCUGUAUGCAAGCAGGCCUUUUCGGAGGCCAAUGUUAGUCGGCUUUAUUUCCAAUCAGUAGGCAACCUCUAUCAGAAAUUGAUCAAUUGCGAAGAUAAUCCAGGGGAGUUGCAUAGGGAAAUGGAGAAAUUGGAAGGGAAGGUUUUAGGACUCAGAUCGGCGAUAGAGCGUCAUCAGAAAGAUGUCGAAGAACUCAAUGAGGAGGAACUUGAUAGAUCAACUUUGGAGUGCGUAAGGCUGCAGGAAAGGAAUAUGGUAUUGGCCAAAGAGCUUGCAACGUUGAAACUGUAAGUGCCUUCAUACUAGUGACAGAACCAUUUAUGUUUCGAGUCUCCAAACGAACUUUGUUGAUUAUUAUGGCUGUCUGAUCGAAACACUUCGAGAUCGAAUGUUUAGGCCCUUUUUGUCUACAAUCAUUCCUGAGAAUUCAAGGUAGGUAAUAUCUUCUCUGUUUUUUAGUUCCUUACAUAGAUUUUAUUUUGUAUAUUAUGUGGCUAUUUUUGAUAAAAUAAAUUUCCCAACAUAAUAGAAGUUGGAUUACCAAGCAGGCCUUUUCGGAGGCCAAUGUUACUCUGGAUUUGUGCAUUAUUAAUGGAUAAUAGGCAGCGUCUGAAAUUUUCAAAUGUUGGUAUUUAUUCAUUUAUUAUUAAUGGAUAAUGGUAUUUAUUCAUUUAUUAUUAUUUUUUUGUUGGGUAUUCUCGUAGCUCUGUGAUGGACGAUUGCUUGCAAAUAACGGGUGAGUUGCUGAGAUGAGAGAUACUUUAUUGAAAAAAGAGAGUUGGUGAGAGAUAAGCAUGUGAUGGGAGCAACUGGUGUUGUAUUACCAAACAGUGGUAGCAAAGUGUAUAGAUUGUGAUUUUUUUUUUUGUCACAUCUGGUUCCUUUGUUUUCUUUUGUUUUUACUUUGAAGGACAUAAUACGUAUGGAGAGAAUCAAAGUGUUUAGUUGCUUGUUGAGAGUGUCGCAGCUUGUCAACAUAUUGCCUUAAAAUUUGAAUCCUCGGUUCCUUACCAUGUGCUCAUAUUGGUUGAUACUUACUUUUAUUUAUCUAAAAUGCCAGGAUUUUUAUUUUGUCAUUAGCUGCAGUCUUUGAAGUUGGCCAUUCUUUAAUUUUAAGUUUUGCAUGCCAUGUCUGAGUCAUUAGCCUUUUUGUCGGAGUUGCAUUAUCUUUCUGUAGUUUUCUUCCUGUUGUAAUUUGUAUGUCCUGCUAGCUCACUAUUGUUUUUUCAGUUUGGAUGUAUAUUGCCUCGUAUGGAUGGAAUCUAACAGCUUUAACUAACUUGCAGUUCAAGAAUUGCACAGCAAGGAAGUGAAAUCGUCAUCUGAUUCAUAUUUGAAAGGUCUCACGAUAUUAAAGGUGAUCUUGGGAACAGUUUGAUGCUUAAAAUACUUACAAGUUUCCCUGAACAAAGUGCUGAAGUGUUUAGUUGCAUGGUUACCCAACAGGUUUUUACAUAUUUAUGUGAGAUUACUAUUACUAUCCCGUGGAGAAUCUUAUCAGCUAAAUUCUGAGUGAUCUGCCUCAUUAUGUUUUAUCAUGUGCGAUCUUCAAAUUUUCUAGUCUGAUACUUAUUGGAGCUUGUUUUAAUUCUAAAUUGCUAUUGUUGUUCAUUCACAUUUGUGUUUUGUGUGAAAUGCAAAAGUCAUGUUCUCGAUAUCCCUGUUGAAGCAGAUUAUUUACAGAAAUUUCUAUUAUUUUUACCAAAAGUAGAU
This is a non-coding RNA of Camellia sinensis, 2347 nucleotides long. The record is from RefSeq and is a predicted model, not a curated record. Lineage: Eukaryota; Viridiplantae; Streptophyta; Magnoliopsida; Ericales; Theaceae.